Molecule: transfer RNA, 70 nt
Filed under: Marmota monax (woodchuck)
Lineage: Eukaryota; Metazoa; Chordata; Mammalia; Rodentia; Sciuridae
Description: tRNA.Ala
Source: RNAcentral
GUGUUGGAGCUCAGUGGUAGAAUGCUCACUUAGCAUGCAUGAGGCACUGGGUUCAAUCCUCAGCACCACA